UACGAAGGGGCUAGCGUUGUUCGGAAUCACUGGGCGUAAAGCGCACGUAGGCGGAUUUUAAGUCAGGGUGAAAUCCCGAGGCUCAACCUCGGAACUGCCUUUGAUACUGAGAUCUUGAGUCCGGAAGAGGUAAGUGGAACUGCGAGUGUAGAGGUGAAAUUCGUAGAUAUUCGCAAGAACACCAGUGGCGAAGGCGGCUUACUGGUCCGGAACUGACGCUGAGGUGCGAAAGCGUGGGGAGCAAACAGG
RNAcentral lists this ribosomal RNA (249 nucleotides) under uncultured bacterium. RNAcentral describes it as "partial 16S ribosomal RNA". It matches the Rfam family "Bacterial small subunit ribosomal RNA", at positions 524 to 776 of the family's 1533-position model. The record is from RNAcentral.